This 2787-nucleotide ribosomal RNA is filed under the name Salmonella enterica. RNAcentral describes it as "partial 23S ribosomal RNA". It matches the Rfam family "Bacterial large subunit ribosomal RNA". The record is from RNAcentral. RNAcentral also lists the same sequence under 1 other name. Lineage: Bacteria; Pseudomonadati; Pseudomonadota; Gammaproteobacteria; Enterobacterales; Enterobacteriaceae.
GGGUUGUGAGGUUAAGCGACUAAGCGUACACGGUGGAUGCCCUGGCAGUCAGAGGCGAUGAAGGGCGUGCUAAUCUGCGAUAAGCGCCGGUAAGGUGAUAUGAACCGUUAUAACCGGCGAUACCCGAAUGGGGAAACCCAGUGUGAUUCGUCACACUAUCAUUACGUGAAUACAUAGCGUAAUGAAGCGAACCGGGGGAACUGAAACAUCUAAGUACCCCGAGGAAAAGAAAUCAACCGAGAUUCCCCCAGUAGCGGCGAGCGAACGGGGAGGAGCCCAGAGCCUGAAUCAGCAUGUGUGUUAGUGGAAGCGUCUGGAAAGGCGCGCGAUACAGGGUGACAGCCCCGUACACAAAAGCGCAUGUGUUGUGAGCUCGAUGAGUAGGGCGGGACACGUGGUAUCCUGUCUGAAUAUGGGGGGACCAUCCUCCAAGGCUAAAUACUCCUGACUGACCGAUAGUGAACCAGUACCGUGAGGGAAAGGCGAAAAGAACCCCGGCGAGGGGAGUGAAAAAGAACCUGAAACCGUGUACGUACAAGCAGUGGGAGCACCCUUUGGGGUGUGACUGCGUACCUUUUGUAUAAUGGGUCAGCGACUUAUAUUCUGUAGCAAGGUUAACCGAAUAGGGGAGCCGGAGGGAAACCGAGUCUUAAUUGGGCGUUAAGUUGCAGGGUAUAGACCCGAAACCCGGUGAUCUAGCCAUGGGCAGGUUGAAGGUUGGGUAACACUAACUGGAGGACCGAACCGACUAAUGUUGAAAAAUUAGCGGAUGACCUGUGGCUGGGGGUGAAAGGCCAAUCAAACCGGGAGAUAGCUGGUUCUCCCCGAAAGCUAUUUAGGUAGCGCCUCGUGAAUUCAUCUCCGGGGGUAGAGCACUGUUUCGGCUAGGGGGCCAUCCCGGCUUACCAACCCGAUGCAAACUGCGAAUACCGGAGAAUGUUAUCACGGGAGACACACGGCGGGUGCUAACGUCCGUCGUGAAGAGGGAAACAACCCAGACCGCCAGCUAAGGUCCCAAAGUCAUGGUUAAGUGGGAAACGAUGUGGGAAGGCCCAGACAGCCAGGAUGUUGGCUUAGAAGCAGCCAUCAUUUAAAGAAAGCGUAAUAGCUCACUGGUCGAGUCGGCCUGCGCGGAAGAUGUAACGGGGCUAAACCAUGCACCGAAGCUGCGGCAGCGACACUAUGUGUUGUUGGGUAGGGGAGCGUUCUGUAAGCCUGUGAAGGUGUGUCGUGAGGCAUGCUGGAGGUAUCAGAAGUGCGAAUGCUGACAUAAGUAACGAUAAAGCGGGUGAAAAGCCCGCUCGCCGGAAGACCAAGGGUUCCUGUCCAACGUUAAUCGGGGCAGGGUGAGUCGACCCCUAAGGCGAGGCCGAAAGGCGUAGUCGAUGGGAAACGGGUUAAUAUUCCCGUACUUGGUGUUACUGCGAAGGGGGGACGGAGAAGGCUAUGUUGGCCGGGCGACGGUUGUCCCGGUUUAAGCGUGUAGGUGUGUGUUCCAGGUAAAUCCGGUUCACUUUAACACUGAGGCGUGACGACGAGGCACUACGGUGCUGAAGCAACAAAUGCCCUGCUUCCAGGAAAAGCCUCUAAGCAUCAGGUAACAUCAAAUCGUACCCCAAACCGACACAGGUGGUCAGGUAGAGAAUACCAAGGCGCUUGAGAGAACUCGGGUGAAGGAACUAGGCAAAAUGGUGCCGUAACUUCGGGAGAAGGCACGCUGACACGUAGGUGAAGUGAUUUACUCAUGGAGCUGAAGUCAGUCGAAGAUACCAGCUGGCUGCAACUGUUUAUUAAAAACACAGCACUGUGCAAACACGAAAGUGGACGUAUACGGUGUGACGCCUGCCCGGUGCCGGAAGGUUAAUUGAUGGGGUCAGCGCAAGCGAAGCUCCUGAUCGAAGCCCCGGUAAACGGCGGCCGUAACUAUAACGGUCCUAAGGUAGCGAAAUUCCUUGUCGGGUAAGUUCCGACCUGCACGAAUGGCGUAAUGAUGGCCAGGCUGUCUCCACCCGAGACUCAGUGAAAUUGAACUCGCUGUGAAGAUGCAGUGUACCCGCGGCAAGACGGAAAGACCCCGUGAACCUUUACUAUAGCUUGACACUGAACAUUGAGCCUUGAUGUGUAGGAUAGGUGGGAGGCUUUGAAGUGUGGACGCCAGUCUGCAUGGAGCCGACCUUGAAAUACCACCCUUUAAUGUUUGAUGUUCUAACGUGGACCCGUGAUCCGGGUUGCGGACAGUGUCUGGUGGGUAGUUUGACUGGGGCGGUCUCCUCCUAAAGAGUAACGGAGGAGCACGAAGGUUGGCUAAUCCUGGUCGGACAUCAGGAGGUUAGUGCAAUGGCAUAAGCCAGCUUGACUGCGAGCGUGACGGCGCGAGCAGGUGCGAAAGCAGGUCAUAGUGAUCCGGUGGUUCUGAAUGGAAGGGCCAUCGCUCAACGGAUAAAAGGUACUCCGGGGAUAACAGGCUGAUACCGCCCAAGAGUUCAUAUCGACGGCGGUGUUUGGCACCUCGAUGUCGGCUCAUCACAUCCUGGGGCUGAAGUAGGUCCCAAGGGUAUGGCUGUUCGCCAUUUAAAGUGGUACGCGAGCUGGGUUUAGAACGUCGUGAGACAGUUCGGUCCCUAUCUGCCGUGGGCGCUGGAGAACUGAGGGGGGCUGCUCCUAGUACGAGAGGACCGGAGUGGACGCAUCACUGGUGUUCGGGUUGUCAUGCCAAUGGCACUGCCCGGUAGCUAAAUGCGGAAGAGAUAAGUGCUGAAAGCAUCUAAGCACGAAACUUGCCCCGAG